Molecule: ribosomal RNA, 301 nt
Filed under: uncultured bacterium
Lineage: Bacteria
Description: partial 16S ribosomal RNA
Rfam family: Bacterial small subunit ribosomal RNA
Source: RNAcentral
CAGCAGCCGCGGUAAAACGAAGGGUGCAAGCGUUAAUCGGAAUUACUGGGCGUAAAGCGUGCGUAGGCGGUGAGUUAAGUCUGCUGUGAAAUCCCCGGGCUCAACCUGGGAAUGGCAGUGGAUACUGGCUCGCUAGAGUGUGUCAGAGGAUGGUGGAAUUCCCGGUGUAGCGGUGAAAUGCGUAGAGAUCGGGAGGAACAUCAGUGGCGAAGGCGGCCAUCUGGGACAACACUGACGCUGAGGCACGAAAGCGUGGGGAGCAAACAGGAUUAGAUACCCGCGUAGUCCCUGUCUCUUACAC